This is a long non-coding RNA of Xenia sp. Carnegie-2017, 549 nucleotides long. RefSeq lists it as uncharacterized. The record is from RefSeq and is a predicted model, not a curated record. The transcript has 2 exons. NCBI's taxonomy places the organism in Eukaryota, Metazoa, Cnidaria, Anthozoa, Malacalcyonacea, Xeniidae.
UGGGAUCAUCUUUAUUACAGCGAUAUAAGAUUUUGGUGUUAUUUGGAAUCAAGGAUUAAGGUGCAUUCACAAAGAUUAAGUGGCACGCGUGCGAGAUCGGGGUCGUGGUCAACGUCAGGAAGUGAGAAAAGGUUAUUAGCCAUAAUAACAGAUUCGAAGACUGGAAAAAGGAAGCUCAUUCCAAGAAAAAUGGCGCAAAAAAAGAAAAAGUACGUCUAGAAAUAAUCUUGAAAAGGCUUCCCUUUCAGAAACAAGAAAAAGAGCAUCGACAGAGGGCGAAGAAUAACACAAGCAAAAGUGUUUUGUGCCACGUUCAAUUAUGUUGCACAUAAAAGGACUUCAAAUGAACUACUAUUCCAACGUAUUAAGAAAGAAAGUAAAUGGUUUGAACACUGGAGUAUCAUUACAUGUGUUGGACAUUCUGUGGACAAUUUCGCGAAGCUCACGCGAGAUCUACAUGUUAUUUUUAGAGCUGUGUUUUAAAUUAAAAUCUUAAAUAUGUUACGGGAGGUUUUCUCUUACGAAUAAAGCUAAUCUUUUCAUUUUUUC